Molecule: ribosomal RNA, 253 nt
Filed under: uncultured bacterium
Lineage: Bacteria
Description: partial 16S ribosomal RNA
Rfam family: Bacterial small subunit ribosomal RNA
Source: RNAcentral
UACGUAGGAUGCAAGCGGUGUCCGGAUUUAUUGGGAUUAAAGGGGGCGUCGGCGGCCUCUUAAGUUAGUGGUGAAAACGUUAGGCUUAAUCUGAUACCCGCCAUUGAUACUGAUAGACUUGAGUGCGACAGAGGGUGUUGGAAUGUGUGGUGUAGCGGUGAAAUGCUUAGAUAUCACGCAGAACACCAAUUGCGAAGGCAGAUGCCUAUGUCGUAACUGACGCUAAGGCACCAAAGCGUGGGGAGCAAACAGG